CAGAAAAAGCAGGCUCCUCGUUUUGUUUUCCGCUGACUGCACUGAACUGGCAAAAUAGCCUUAAUUGACAAAAUGACAGGAUAGAAUAAAAUGUUGGAAGGGAAGAACUGACACAGGCAUUCCUGGACUUUUUAACAGUUCAACCACAAUGACCUGUUCAAAUGAAUGCGCUACUUCCAUGAGAGAAAGUAAAUUUUAUUUCUCUCAGAACUUGUAUGUGGAACAAAGUGGCCAAUCACUGCUUACUGCCAUGAGUCUUACUGACCGCAUUUUACAGUGGACUGAAGACUAAUCUGAAAUCCGUCCUUCCUUCUCCAAGGUAAUCAGGAGCAGAGAAAGGCCAUCUGGACCUCCUGUAACAGCCACUGAGCUGGAGCUGGCAGUAACCUCGUCUGCAAUAGCUUCAGGGAUGGAUUUAAAAGAGGACCGAUUCUAGAGGUCUCCUUUAAAGAGUCCUAAGGGGGUAUCGAACAACCAGAUGAGAAUUGCAAGGUACCAGAGUUCACUCUGAAUUGACUAAAUGUCUGCACAAAAACAACACCUUGAAGUCAAGUGGAGGGAGAGCAAAAAGAACCUUACUCUGAGUUGCCUGGUCACUGCUGAGAUGUGAUAACUGACUGUACAGGGCCCAAGUCUGCCACCAGUACCAUCGCCGUGCAAAACCAUGUCAUCUUGCUUUCCCAGCCUGUGAAAUGAGGGUGCCUGGAAAUGGAGAGGAGAACACAGAAAACAAGAAAAGCAGCAUGUUGUCAGAUUCUACUUUUUAAGUUAUCCAGAGAACAGUUGUUGCUGAGUAAGAACUGGAUGCAUCUGCUGCUCCUGCAUCAGGACUGCUGACAUGAACAUGUAGGAGGAAGAUCAAGCUGCAGCAAGGACGGACUUCAGGAGCUGGUUCGUUCUUCUUUCACACGGAUGGGAGUGUCACAGCGUGCUUUCCUGUCUAAUCAGUCUCAACACAACCUUACACAACUCAGCCUGCUUUAAGCUUUUAACCAGGGUGUAGGAGUUCAGAAAAAAAAAACCACCUCCCUUCCCCCAAGAAAAAUGUAAUUGCAAAGAUUUGUUUUGACGUAGCAUGUACAGUAAACUUGAAUCACCAAAAGUGAA
Molecule: long non-coding RNA, 1107 nt
Organism: Chiroxiphia lanceolata (lance-tailed manakin)
Lineage: Eukaryota; Metazoa; Chordata; Aves; Passeriformes; Pipridae
Exons: 2
Source: RefSeq, a predicted model, not a curated record